GUGGGAACUGAUGGACGUGGUGGGCCUAAGGUACGGGAUGUCAUAAUGCUAUUUGGGGAAUUCUAGGAGACAAGGAAAGCCUGGGUUUCCUGGUGUUAAAGGACAAAAGGGUCUUAUAGGUCCUAAGGGACAUAAAGGAGACUUGGGAAUGAGAGGACACAUGGGCUCCGUUGGGCCUAGAGGAUUCAGUGGGGCUCUGGGCCCCAAAGGCAGGAAAGGACCACCAGGGCCACAUGGAGGCAAGGGCCAUCAAGGGAGACCAGGCCCAAAAGGCUUGAAAGGCAG
Molecule: non-coding RNA, 285 nt
Organism: Paramormyrops kingsleyae
Lineage: Eukaryota; Metazoa; Chordata; Actinopteri; Osteoglossiformes; Mormyridae
Source: RefSeq, a predicted model, not a curated record